UGCGCCACACCUGGAAGAGCAACUGCUGCCGCUGCGCUUCUGGGUGAAUGUGAUCAAGAACCCGCAGUUCGUGUUCGACAUCCACAAGAACAGCAUCACGGAUGCCUGCCUGUCGGUGGUAGCCCAGACCUUCAUGGACUCCUGCUCUACAUCCGAGCACCGCCUGGGGAAGGACUCGCCCUCCAACAAACUGCUCUACGCCAAGGACAUCCCCAACUACAAGAGCUGGGUGGAGAGGUG
This 240-nucleotide long non-coding RNA is filed under the name Homo sapiens (human). RNAcentral's name for it is "long non-coding RNA NONHSAT139188.2". The record is from RNAcentral. Lineage: Eukaryota; Metazoa; Chordata; Mammalia; Primates; Hominidae.